RNAcentral lists this ribosomal RNA (1744 nucleotides) under Orthotylinae gen. ZANCGEN6 sp. Msp129. RNAcentral's name for it is "partial large subunit ribosomal RNA". It matches the Rfam family "Eukaryotic large subunit ribosomal RNA", at positions 386 to 1882 of the family's 3401-position model. The record is from RNAcentral. Lineage: Eukaryota; Metazoa; Arthropoda; Insecta; Hemiptera; Miridae.
UUCAGGGGUAAACGGAAAAGACCCGAAAUUUCCGAAAGGGGAGAUUCACGUCUUCUCGCUGACUCAACUCUCUGACCAACGUCGACGGUUCUAUGCCUCAUUCGAACUUGUUCGGAGCGAGUGGUGGAGCCGCCGUGGUCGGGGUUGUGGGGUCGCGGCAGACCGCACUUCUCCCCUAGUAGGACGUCGUGACCCGUCCGGUGAUGGUCUGAGAGUGUGUAUGGGAGCCUGUUCGUGCUACUUCGGUAGUCAUGAGCAGACCUUCGCAUUUCUGGCCAUGAACGCUCCGGUCGGUAUCGAAAGACAGUGUUGAACCGCUCCGCUGAGGGAGAGAUCCCUUUUCGAGAGCGCGAUUGGUCCUUGGCAAGGUGUCGAGUCGCGUUUGUCAAGUCGGGCCUUCGUCCGUCUGACUGCUCUCGCGCCUGUUGGUCGAGGUACUCUAUCGCCGGUUGAAAUGAAUGGCACUAGUCUACGGCGAAUCAGUUUUGGGCUCUUGUCCGACCCGUCUUGAAACACGGACCAAGGAGUUUAGCGUGUGCGCGAGUCAUUGAGUGACAAAACUCAAAGGCGUAAUGAAAGUGAAGGGAACUUUACGUUUCUGAGGGAGGAUGAGUGUGCUCUUCACGGGGCCGUUCCGCACUCCCGGGGCGUCUCUAUCUCAUUGCGAGAGGAGGCGCACCUAGAGCGUACACGCUGAUACCCGAAAGAUGGUGAACUAUGCCUGGCCAGGACGAAGCCAGGGGAAACCCUGGUGGAGGUCCGCAGCGAUUCUGACGUGCAAAUCGAUCGUCGGAGCUGGGUUUAGGGGCGAAAGACCAAUCGAACCAUCUAGUAGCCAAUAGAUGAGAACCCUGGCUUUCUUAAACUAUGAAGCCAAGGGGUUUCGGAUCAGAGUGCCAAGUGGGCCAAUUUUGGUAAGCAGAACUGGCGCUGUGGGAUGAACCAAACGCGGAGUUAAGGCGCCUCAAUCGACGCUCAUGUGAGACCAUGAAAGGCGUUGGUUGCUUAAGACAGCAGGACGGUGGCCAUGGAAGUCGGAAUCCGCUAAGGAGUGUGUAACAACUCACCUGCCGAAGCAACUAGCCCUGAAAAUGGAUGGCGCUGUAGCGUCGUGCCUAUACUCCGCCGUCAACGGCAACGCAGGCAGCUCUCUAACGGGAGCGGCGCUGUUAAGCCUUGACGAGUAAGAGGGCCGCGGCGACGUGCGCAGAAGGGUUUUGGGCGUGAGCCUGCCUGGAGCCGUCGUCGGUGCAGAUCUUGGUGGUAGUAGCAAAUACUCCAGCGAGGCCCUGGAGGACUGAUGUGGAGAAGGGUUUCUUGUGAACAGCUGUUGCACAAGAGUCAGUCGAUCCUAAGCCCUAGGAGAAAUCCGAAGCGAUGGGUUGCCGUUAAAUGUCACAAGCUUGAUGUUGGCACCAUUUGGGCGAAAGGGAAUCUGGUUCCUAUUCCAGAACCUGGCAGUGGAACCGUUCCAAAUCGGGCCCUCAUUGAGGACUCGUCAGGGCAACCUGAAAGGACCCGGAGACGCCGUCGGGAGAUUCAGGGAGAGUUGUCUCUUCUCUAUAAGCGAUCGAGUUCCCUGGAAACCUCUAGCAGGGAGAUAGGGUUUGGAUCGCGAAGAGCACCGCAGUUACGGCGGUGUCCGAAUCUUCCCCACGGACCUUGAAAAUCCGGGAGAGGGCCACGAGGAACCCCACGCCAGAUCGUACCCAUAUCCGCAGCAGGUCUCCAAGGUGAAAAGCCU